RNAcentral lists this ribosomal RNA (392 nucleotides) under uncultured bacterium. RNAcentral's name for it is "partial 16S ribosomal RNA". It matches the Rfam family "Bacterial small subunit ribosomal RNA", at positions 523 to 918 of the family's 1533-position model. The record is from RNAcentral.
AUACGGAGGAUCCGAGCGUUAUCCGGAUUUAUUGGGUUUAAAGGGUGCGCAGGCGGCCAUUUAAGUCAGCGGUUAAAUCGUGGGGCUCAACCCCAUUCUGCCGUUGAUACUGGGUGGCUUGAUUGCGGUCGAGGUUGGCGGAAUUCGCUGUGUAGCGGUGAAAUGCAUAGAUAUGACGAAGAACACCGAUUGCGUAGGCAGCUGACCAGAUCGCAAAUGACGCUCAUGCACGAAAGUGCGGGGAUCGAACAGGAUUAGAUACCCUGGUAGUCCGCACAGUAAACGAUGAAUACUUGUUUUCGGCGAUAUAAUGUCGGAGGCAAAGCGAAAGCGAUAAGUAUUCCACCUGGGGAGUACGCCGGCAACGGUGAAACUCAAAGGAAUUGACGGGG